Molecule: non-coding RNA, 94 nt
Organism: Mycena rebaudengoi
Lineage: Eukaryota; Fungi; Basidiomycota; Agaricomycetes; Agaricales; Mycenaceae
Source: the annotation of a GenBank genome assembly
GACCCAGUGGUGUAGUGGAAACAUACUUGUGUCCAAUAACAUGGACAGGAAUACGUUGGUGCAAGAGAUCCCUGUUCAAUUCAGGGUUGGGUCA